AACGAACGCUGGCGGCAGGCCUAACACAUGCAAGUCGAACGCUGUAGCAAUACAGAGUGGCAGACGGGCGAGUAACACGUGGGAAUCUUCCUAUCGGUACGGAAUAGCUCAGGGAAACUUGGGGUAAUACCGCAUACGCCCUUCGGGGGAAAGAUUUAUCGCCGAUAGAUGAGCCCGCGUCUGAUUAGCUAGUUGGUGAGGUAAUGGCUCACCAAGGCGACGAUCAGUAGCUGGUCUAAGAGGAUGACCAGCCACACUGGGACUGAGACACGGCCCAAACUCCUACUGGAGGCAGCAGUGGGGAAUAUUGGACAAUGGGCGCAAGCCUGAUCCAGCCAUGCCUCGUGAGUGACGAAGGUCUUCGGAUUGUAAAGCUCUUUUGGCGGGGACGAUAAUGACGGUACCCGCAGAAUAAGCCCCGGCUAACUUCGUGCCAGCCGCCGCGGUAA
Molecule: ribosomal RNA, 449 nt
Filed under: uncultured bacterium
Lineage: Bacteria
Description: partial 16S ribosomal RNA
Rfam family: Bacterial small subunit ribosomal RNA
Source: RNAcentral